CAUCACUCCUGAAGUGUUUUUUUCUUUUUUUCUUGUUUCUUCCAGACCAUUUCUACAAUUUAUCAAGACCAUUUCGACUCCUAAUCCUGGCUCUGAAGCACCUGCAGCCCGUCCCAGCCUGGUAUCUGCAGCAAUUUUAAAAUGUGGGAAAUACUUUUCCAAGGCUUUUGAACUCCAAAGUGGAACAGAAGGAAGACACAGGGGGACAUCCACCGUUCAGUGUUAUUUUCCUUGCACAGGAGAGAGAGAGAGAGAGAGAGAAGAAAAAACGGAUCUUUCUGAGAUGAGCACUAAAGUCUCAAGUUUUCAAAGGUUUGCAUAACAAACAAGAGACACAUUGUGGGUUGCAUCUUGACUUUGAAGGCUUGCCACUGUCAACUGAAAUAAAAUGGCAAGGUUUAAAGCCUUAACCAAGUUCACAAGGAAAAUAUUUGGACUGAAAGUUUUGGAAAGUUUUCUCUCUUUGAAGUAGUUUGUCAUGUGUUACCAAUGUGAACUUUAUUGACCUUGAAACGUUUUUUUUUUUGAAUCAAAUAGCAACUAGUGACACUUUAGUCAAAUCUUAAAUCAACAACCAUCUCCUGGCGGCUCCAGCUUCGUAGCAAAUGCAGGCAAAACAGGGAAUCUACAGAGGAGACCUUUAUUAUUCCUAAAUGAAGCCUGCCAAAACCUUCCCGAAAUAGCAU
RNAcentral lists this long non-coding RNA (686 nucleotides) under Geospiza fortis (medium ground-finch). Its description in RNAcentral is "lncRNA (ENSGFOG00000011071.1)". Lineage: Eukaryota; Metazoa; Chordata; Aves; Passeriformes; Thraupidae. The record is from RNAcentral.